ACGAACGCUGGCGGCGUGCUUCACACAUGCAAGUCGAACGGAAAGACCCUGCUUUUGUGGGGUGCUCGAGUGGCGAACGGGUGAGUAACACGUGAGUAACCUGCCCUUGACUUUGGGAUAACUUCAGGAAACUGGGGCUAAUACCGGAUAGGAGCUCCUGCUGCAUGGUGGGGGUUGGAAAGUUUCGGCGGUUGGGGAUGGACUCGCGGCUUAUCAGCUUGUUGGUGGGGUAGUGGCUUACCAAGGCUUUGACGGGUAGCCGGCCUGAGAGGGUGACCGGCCACAUUGGGACUGAGAUACGGCCCAGACUCCUACGGGAGGCAGCAGUGGGGAAUAUUGCACAAUGGGCGGAAGCCUGAUGCAGCAACGCCGCGUGCGGGAUGACGGCCUUCGGGUUGUAAACCGCUUUCGCCUGUGACGAAGCGUGAGUGACGGUAAUGGGUAAAGAAGCACCGGCUAACUACGUG
Molecule: ribosomal RNA, 467 nt
Filed under: uncultured bacterium
Lineage: Bacteria
Description: partial 16S ribosomal RNA
Rfam family: Bacterial small subunit ribosomal RNA
Source: RNAcentral